This 55-nucleotide transfer RNA is filed under the name Cucullanus robustus. RNAcentral's name for it is "tRNA-His". The record is from RNAcentral. Lineage: Eukaryota; Metazoa; Nematoda; Chromadorea; Rhabditida; Cucullanidae.
AGCUUUAUAGUUUAUAAGAAAACGUUUGUUUGUGGGGUAAAAGAAUAAGGAGCUA